RNAcentral lists this ribosomal RNA (253 nucleotides) under uncultured bacterium. RNAcentral's name for it is "partial 16S ribosomal RNA". It matches the Rfam family "Bacterial small subunit ribosomal RNA", at positions 524 to 776 of the family's 1533-position model. The record is from RNAcentral.
UACGUAGGGUGCAAGCGUUAAUCGGAAUUACUGGGCGUAAAGCGUGCGCAGGCGGUUUUGUAAGACUGUCGUGAAAUCCCCGGGCUUAACCUGGGAAUGGCAUUUGGGACUGCAAGGCUUGAGUUUGGCAGAGGAGACUGGAAUUCCUGGUGUAGCAGUGAAAUGCGUAGAUAUCAGGAGGAAUACCGAUGGCGAAGGCAGGUCUCUGGGCUAGAACUGACGCUCAUGCACGAAAGCGUGGGGAGCAAACAGG